This 253-nucleotide ribosomal RNA is filed under the name uncultured bacterium. Its description in RNAcentral is "partial 16S ribosomal RNA". It matches the Rfam family "Bacterial small subunit ribosomal RNA", at positions 524 to 776 of the family's 1533-position model. The record is from RNAcentral.
UACGGAGGGAGCUAGCGUUGUUCGGAAUUACUGGGCGUAAAGCGCACGUAGGCGGCUUUGUAAGUUAGAGGUGAAAGCCCGGAGCUCAACUCCAGAACUGCCUUCGAUACUGGCGAUCUCGAGUUCGGGAGAGGUGAGUGGAACUGCGAGUGUAGAGGUGAAAUUCGUAGAUAUUCGCAAGAACACCAGUGGCGAAGGCGGCUCACUGGCCCGAUACUGACGCUGAGGUGCGAAAGCGUGGGGAGCAAACAGG